AUGGGAACGCGAAGAACCUUACCUAGACUUGACAUCUUCUGCAUUAAUCGUAAUGGAUGAAAUCCCUUCGGGGACAGAAUGACAGGUGGUGCAUGGUUGUCGUCAGCUCGUGUCGUGAGAUGUUGGGUUAAGUCCCGCAACGAGCGCAACCCUUAUUACUAGUUGCUACCAUUUAGUUGAGCACUCUAGCGAGACUGCCGUGGUUAACGCGGAGGAAGGUGGGGAUGACGUCAAAUCAUCAUGCCCCUUAUGUCUAGGGCUACACACGUGCUACAAUGGCUGGUACAGAGAGACGCUAAACCGUGAGGUGGAGCCAAACUUUAAAACCAGUCUCAGUUCGGAUUGUAGGCUGAAACUCGCCUACAUGAAGCUGGAGUUGCUAGUAAUCGCGAAUCAGAAUGUCGCGGUGAAUAC
This 414-nucleotide ribosomal RNA is filed under the name uncultured bacterium. RNAcentral's name for it is "bacterial SSU rRNA". It matches the Rfam family "Bacterial small subunit ribosomal RNA", at positions 954 to 1369 of the family's 1533-position model. The record is from RNAcentral.